This 253-nucleotide ribosomal RNA is filed under the name uncultured bacterium. Its description in RNAcentral is "partial 16S ribosomal RNA". It matches the Rfam family "Bacterial small subunit ribosomal RNA", at positions 524 to 776 of the family's 1533-position model. The record is from RNAcentral.
GACGUAGGGCGCAAGCGUUGUCCGGAUUUAUUGGGCGUAAAGAGCUCGUAGGCGGCUCGUUGCGUCGGCUGUGAAAACCCGCAGCUCAACUGUGGGCUUGCAGCCGAUACGGGCGGGCUGGAGUUCGGUAGGGGAGACUGGAAUUCCUGGUGUAGCGGUGAAAUGCGCAGAUAUCAGGAGGAACACCGGUGGCGAAGGCGGGUCUCUGGACAGUUCCUGACGCUGAGGCACGAAGGCCAGGGGAGCAAACGGG